AUUGAACGCUGGCGGCAGGCCUAACACAUGCAAGUCGAACGGUAACAGGAAGCAGCUUGCUGCUUUGCUGACGAGUGGCGGACGGGUGAGUAAUGUCUGGGAAACUGCCCGAUGGAGGGGGAUAACUACUGGAAACGGUAGCUAAUACCGCAUAACGUCGCAAGACCAAAGAGGGGGACCUUAGGGCCUCUUGCCAUCGGAUGUGCCCAGAUGGGAUUAGCUAGUAGGUGGGGCAACGGCUCACCUAGGCGACGAUCCCUAGCUGGUCUGAGAGGAUGACCAGCCACACUGGAACUGAGACACGGUCCAGACUCCUACGGGAGGCAGCAGUGGGGAAUAUUGCACAAUGGGCGCAAGCCUGAUGCAGCCAUGCCGCGUGUAUGAAGAAGGCCUUCGGGUUGUAAAGUACUUUCAGCGGGGAGGAAGGGAGUAAAGUUAAUACCUUGGCUCAUUGACGUUACCCGCAGAAGAAGCACCGGCUAACUCCGUG
Molecule: ribosomal RNA, 490 nt
Filed under: uncultured bacterium
Lineage: Bacteria
Description: partial 16S ribosomal RNA
Rfam family: Bacterial small subunit ribosomal RNA
Source: RNAcentral